UACACAUGCAAGUCGAACGGCAGCGGGUCCUUCGGGACGCCGGCGAGUGGCGAACGGGUGAGUAAUGCAUCGGAACGUACCCAGUAGUGGGGGAUAACUUACCGAAAGGUAAGCUAAUACCGCAUACGCACUGAGGUGGAAAGCAGGGGACCGCAAGGCCUUGCGCUAUUGGAGCGGCCGAUGUCGGAUUAGCUAGUUGGUGGGGUAAAGGCCUACCAAGGCGACGAUCCGUAGCGGGUCUGAGAGGAUGAUCCGCCACACUGGAACUGAGACACGGUCCAGACUCCUACGGGAGGCAGCAGUGGGGAAUUUUGGACAAUGGGCGCAAGCCUGAUCCAGCCAUGCCGCGUGAGUGAAGAAGGCCUUCGGGUUGUAAAGCUCUUUCGGCCGGGAAGGAAUCGUGGUGGCGAAUACCUGCCAUGGACGACGGUACCGGACUAAGAAGCACCGGCUAACUACGUGCCAGCAGCCGCGGUAAUACGUAGGGUGCGAGCGUUAAUCGGAAUUACUGGGCGUAAAGCGUGCGCAGGCGGUUGUGUAAGACAGGCGUGAAAUCCCCGGGCUCGACCUGGGAACUGCGCUUGUGACUGCACGGCUAGAGUACGGCAGAGGGGGGUGGAAUUCCACGUGUAGCAGUGAAAUGCGUAGAGAUGUGGAGGAACACCGAUGGCGAAGGCAGCCCCCUGGGUCGAUACUGACGCUCAUGCACGAAAGCGUGGGGAGCAAACAGGAUUAGAUACCCUGGUAGUCCACGCCCUAAACGAUGUCGACUAGUUGUUGGAGGGGUAAAACCCUUUAGUAACGUAGCUAACGCGUGAAGUCGACCGCCUGGGGAGUACGGCCGCAAGGUUAAAACUCAAAGGAAUUGACGGGGACCCGCACAAGCGGUGGAUGAUGUGGAUUAAUUCGAUGCACGCGAAAACCCUUCCUACCCUUGCCAUGCCAGGAACUGCCCAGAGAUGGCUUGGUGCCCCCAAGGGAACCUGGCCCCAGGGUGCUGCAUGGCGUUGUUCAGUUGGUUUCGUGAGAUGUUGGGUUAAUUCCCCCAACGAGCCCAACCCUUGCCAUUAGUUCCCUCCAUUUGUUUGGCCAUUUUAAUGAGACUCCCGGUGCCAACCCGGAGGAAGGUGGGGAGGACGUCAAUUCUUCAUGGCCUUUAUGGGUAGGGCUUCCCACUUCAUCCAAUGGUCGGUCCAGAGGGUGCCCAACCCGGGAGGGGGACCCAUUUUCAGAAACCCAAUGUUAUUCCGGAUUCCAUUUUCCAAUUGUUUUCCAGAAUUCGAAU
This 1285-nucleotide ribosomal RNA is filed under the name uncultured bacterium. Its description in RNAcentral is "partial 16S ribosomal RNA". It matches the Rfam family "Bacterial small subunit ribosomal RNA", at positions 50 to 1317 of the family's 1533-position model. The record is from RNAcentral.